CCCUUAGAUGUCCGGGGCCGCACGCGCGCUACACUGAAGGAAUCAGCGUGGCUUUCUCCCUGACCCGAAAGGGUUGGGAAACCCGUUGAAUCUCCUUCGUGAUAGGGAUUGGGGCUUGAAAUUGUUCCCCAUGAACGAGGAAUUCCCAGUAAGCGCGAGUCAUAAGCUCGCGUUGAUUACGUCCCUGCCCUUUGUACACACCGCCCGUCGCUACUACCGAUUGAAUGGUUUAGUGAGAUCUUCGGAUUGGCGCCACUGCGGCUCAGCAAUGGGCUCGGUGGAUGCCGAAAAGUUGAUCAAACUUGAUCAUUUAGAGGAAGUAAAAGUCGUAACA
RNAcentral lists this ribosomal RNA (334 nucleotides) under uncultured eukaryote. RNAcentral describes it as "partial 18S ribosomal RNA". It matches the Rfam family "Eukaryotic small subunit ribosomal RNA", at positions 1470 to 1796 of the family's 1831-position model. The record is from RNAcentral.